This is a long non-coding RNA of Oncorhynchus kisutch (coho salmon), 2163 nucleotides long. RefSeq lists it as uncharacterized. The transcript has 2 exons. Lineage: Eukaryota; Metazoa; Chordata; Actinopteri; Salmoniformes; Salmonidae. The record is from RefSeq and is a predicted model, not a curated record.
CACUGGUAGACCUUUGUGUUCAUGUGUCUAUCCUAUUCACAAUAUAGCAACCAUGAGUAGCAGGUUUUUGUUUGGCUUUCCCACUGCUGAUGGACGCGGGACUGUUUACCUCAGGAAUAAAAUGAUGUCGGUGGGAAGCAAGAGGUCGGGACAGUAAGAGUUGUGUGUGCGUACACUGUGGUUGUGCUUCUGACACAGAGGCUGCUUUCCCUCUUGACUAGCAUCAAGUAGCAUUUAGUAGUCCUCACACAUACAGAGAGCAAAGAUCAAGUUGCAUCACUUUUUGCUCACACAACAGCAACAUAGACAGGAAGUGACAUCUGGAAUUACAAAUUCUGUUUUACUUGCAUUCGUUUUGUGCAAAUCUGUUGCUCCACCAGGGCAGAGAGAGCGAGGGAUUGGGGGUGAAAGGGUCACAUCCUUACGUUGGCUAUCUGUGUCAGCAUAAUCAUCACCAGUUGUUUAUAUGUGGUUCUGAUCUAGCUAGUGCAACACAGAAACAACAGCUGGGAUAAAGCCCUUUCAUAGGGCUAAUGCUACGCUAACUGCCUAUGCUAUAUGUCUAAUAGAAUCAGAACCAGUAGAGUGCAGCAAUUAGUAAAGAAUUGGAGUGUGACACAAGUGGUGCAGAUAGGGACAAAUGGGGCCAGUGUAAACGUGUGCAAGAAACCAAUUUCCAAUCUGCAUUGACAGCAUGUUCACCAAAGUACUAGAGCUGUACUGCAGGCUAAUUCUAUAUCUAGGCCUUUAUUAAUUUGUGAAUUGUGAGUAAAGCCGGGUGGACACUAAGCGAUUUUGGCAGCGAUAUAUUUGAGAUCGGUGACAAAAUCCCCAUAUUGUUACCUACUUAGGGCGUGCGGCUGUCACCGACGCUCGUUUACGUCCCAAUAUUUUCAAAUAUGUUUGAUUUUAAAAAUCGGCACAAAAUCUGCAAUGCUCUUGUAAUGUGAGAUGUGCAACGACAAGUUUUGAGAACUGCAAUCAGCAAUUGGCAAUGAGAGCUCGUGACGAAAUCAGGCGGAAGAGGUGGACGCUAGCUAGCGUAGCAUAAAAAAAACAUUGCUUCGAAGAGCUGGGAGCACUCCACGGUCUGUGGACACGAGAUGGAACGGAGGCUGGUGGAACUUUGGCAAGAUCCAAAGUGCCUGUCCGAUGUCUCUUCUGAGUUUCACCACAACCGGACUGAAAAAGAAAAGAGCUGGAAAGACAUUGCCACUGCUCUUCAACAACCAGCUCGAUGUGAGGAUAAAGAGAAAUGCUGCAUGAGACAGAGGAUAACUUGGAUGACGUCAGAGACAUCUGAAAUGUCUUUCUCCGCAUCACCAACAGCUCUGUUAAGACCUGUGACGUUGACAUAUGAGCAAUUAAGCCUCAAUCACGACGUGGUACCCCUAUUGAGUGAAGUCCUUCUCCUGGCCCCUCGGAGAAUCCAUCCACCACCAGCAGGAAGGAGACUGAAAAUAUGCCUUAGAAGAGACGCAGCAAAGAGAAGCAAUCGGAGCAGGACAGCUCCAGAAGCUUGUUUGUUUUAAGCGAAUGUCUGAAAAAGUACAGAAUAUUGGCGACAAGCAGCCUGUUGACACAGAGGUUACAUUUGGAAAUCAGGUGGCAGCUGAACUAAUAAAAGACCCAUCAGUCAAAACAGCGGUCAAAAGAAACAUUAGGAUACUGUUAAUGACGCCAAACAAUGUGAAGUUAACAUUAGACCACCACCACCUUCAUAUCCACCACCAGCAGCAUCUCACACACACAGUACCUGCACAGCCAUACCUUAACACCUACUGUACAUGCCACCUCAGAUUCGUGAGCCUCUAAGUCUUACUAGGAUGCAUUACAAAGUUGAUCCCAGUAACAGUCAGUAAAUGCAAGGCCCCAUGCUUGUACUUGUUUUUGAUAGAUUUUUAGGUAUAUGUUUACAAAUAGCCUAUACAAUUGUUUACAAUAUGCAUUUCUGAGGACAGCCUUUGCAGAGGUACACUUUUCAGGAUCAAAUGUGAAUGGCACUCAGUUUUCAAUAUGUACUGUACUGUAGAAUGGGCCCAUAACCAAAUCAUUUAAUUGAUUUUGGAACAUUUUGAAUACCUGUACUUGUUAUUGGUUAUUUGAGUGAUAUUAGGACAUACUACAUGCACUGUAUGAAAACAUAAAUUAGCAGGCUAGCUA